GUUUUUGUUUGGAGAGUUUGAUCCUGGCUCAGGACGAACGCUGGCGGCGUGCUUAACACAUGCAAGUCGAACGGGAUCCAAGGCGCUUUUUGUGUUUUGGUGAGAGUGGCGAACGGGUGAGUAACACGUGAGUAACCUGCCCCCUUCUUUUGGAUAACCGCAUGAAAGUGUGGCUAAUACAGGAUA
Molecule: ribosomal RNA, 186 nt
Filed under: Actinomyces sp. HMSC075B09
Lineage: Bacteria; Bacillati; Actinomycetota; Actinomycetes; Actinomycetales; Actinomycetaceae
Description: partial 16S ribosomal RNA
Rfam family: Bacterial small subunit ribosomal RNA
Source: RNAcentral